Molecule: long non-coding RNA, 321 nt
Filed under: Monodelphis domestica (gray short-tailed opossum)
Lineage: Eukaryota; Metazoa; Chordata; Mammalia; Didelphimorphia; Didelphidae
Description: lncRNA (ENSMODG00000041148.1)
Source: RNAcentral
CUGGGAGGAACCAGUCAAUUAGAGGAACAGGUGCUGAAGGUUAGAACCUCUCAAGUAUACAUGAUCCAUAAUCAUUGAACAUCAGAAUCAGCCGGGCCUCUUUGCCAUUUUGCUGACUCCAAGUCCCUGCCAAUUUUCUGCAGUACUGCUGCUUUGUUUUCCAAGGAGGACCAUUCAAGGGAACUUCCUUCAGCCUCAACUUCCACAGCAACUUCCCUGGUGAACACAUCACAAAUUCCCCACAAAAUCCUGAUUGUCCCCAACUUCUCUGGUGUAGUUUCCUGGCUUCGGACCCAAACACGUGGACCUGGAGCACCUGAC